Molecule: ribosomal RNA, 233 nt
Filed under: uncultured bacterium
Lineage: Bacteria
Description: partial 16S ribosomal RNA
Rfam family: Bacterial small subunit ribosomal RNA
Source: RNAcentral
CGGGACGGGUGAGUAAUGUCUGGGAAACUGCCUGAUGGAGGGGGAUAACUACUGGAAACGGUAGCUAAUACCGCAUAACGUCGCAAGACCAAAGAGGGGGACCUUCGGGCCUCUUGCCAUCGGAUGUGCCCAGAUGGGAUUAGCUAGUAGGUGGGGUAACGGCUCACCUAGGCGACGAUCCCUAGCUGGUCUGAGAGGAUGAUCAGCCACACUGGGACUGAGACACGGCCCAG